AUUGAACGCUGGCGGCAUGCUUUACACAUGCAAGUCGAACGGUAACAGGCCUUCGGGUGCUGACGAGUGGCGAACGGGUGAGUAAAGCAUCGGAACGUGCCCAGAGGUGGGGGAUAACGCAGCGAAAGCUGUGCUAAUACCGCAUGUGAUCUGAGGAUGAAAGCGGGGGACCAGGCAGCAAUGUUUGGCCUCGCGCCUUUGGAGCGGCCGAUGUCAGAUUAGGUAGUUGGUGGGGUAAAGGCCUACCAAGCCGACGAUCUGUAGCUGGUCUGAGAGGACGACCAGCCACACUGGGACUGAGACACGGCCCAGACUCCUACGGGAGGCAGCAGUGGGGAAUUUUGGACAAUGGGCGCAAGCCUGAUCCAGCAAUGCCGCGUGCGGGAAGAAGGCCUUCGGGUUGUAAACCGCUUUUGUACGGAACGAAAAGGCUCUGGCUAAUACCUGGGGCUGAUGACGGUACCGUAAGAAUAAGCACCGGCUAACUACGUG
RNAcentral lists this ribosomal RNA (492 nucleotides) under uncultured bacterium. Its description in RNAcentral is "partial 16S ribosomal RNA". It matches the Rfam family "Bacterial small subunit ribosomal RNA", at positions 30 to 507 of the family's 1533-position model. The record is from RNAcentral.